GGAUGAACGCUGGCGGCGUGCUUGAUACAUGCAAGUCGAACGGAGAGUGUAGCAAUAUACUUUUAGUGGCGAACGGGUGAGUAACGCGUUGGUGACCUGCCCCGAAGCGAGGGAUAACAGUUCGAAAGAACUGCUAAUACCUCAUGUGAUCACCGGUUUUAGAAUCUGGUGAUUAAAGGUGAAAAUCACUUCGGGAGGGGCCUGCGUCCCAUCAGCUAGUUGGUAAGGUAAUGGCUUACCAAGGCGAUGACGGGUAGGGGACCUGAGAGGGUGGCCCCCCACAAUGGAACUGAAACACGGUCCAUACACCUACGGGUGGCAGCAGUAGGGAAUAUUGGGCAAUGGUCGAAAGACUGACCCAGCCAUGCCGCGUGCAGGAUGAAGGCCCUAUGGGUUGUAAACUGCUUUUAGCCGGGAAUAAACACCCGUUUUAUAACGGGCCCGAAGGUACCGGCUGAAUAAGCAUCGGCUAACUCCGUGCCAGCAGCCGCGGUAAUACGGAGGAUGCAAGCGUUAUCCGGAUUCACUGGGUUUAAAGGGUGCGCAGGCGGACAUUUAAGUCAGGGGUGAAAUCCUACAGCUUAACUGUAGAACUGCCCUUGAUACUGAAUGCCUAGAGUAAAGCUGAAGUGGGCGGAAUGUGUUGUGUAGCGGUGAAAUGCUUAGAUAUAACACAGAACACCAAUCGCGAAGGCAGCUCACUAAACUUUAACUGACGCUCAUGCACGAAAGCGUGGGGAGCAAACAGGAUUAGAUACCCUGGUAGUCCACGCCCUAAACGAUGAUCACUCGCUGUUGGCGAUAUAUUGUCAGUGGCUAAGCAAAAGUGAUAAGUGAUCCACCUGGGGAGUACGACCGCAAGGUUGAAACUCAAAGGAAUUGACGGGGGCCCGCACAAGCGGAGGAGCAUGUGGUUUAAUUCGGUGAUACGCGAGGAACCUUACCAGGGCUCGAACGCAGGAGGAAUACUCCCGAAAGGAAGUAGCCAGAAAUGGCCGCCUGCGAGGUGCUGCAUGGUUGUCGUCAGCUCGUGCCGUGAGGUGUCAGGUUAAGUCCUAUAACGAGCGCAACCCCUAUUCAUAGUUGCCAGCAUAUUACGGUGGGGACUCUAUGAAAACUGCCUGCGCAAGCAGUGAGGAAGGUGGGGAUGACGUCAAAUCAGCACGGCCCUUAUGUCCUGGGCUACACACGUGCUACAAUGGCCGGUACAGAAGGCCGCAACCACGCAAGUGGAAGCUAAUCCCUAAAACCGGUCUCAGUUCGGAUUGGAGUCUGCAACCCGACUCCAUGAAGCCGGAUUCGCUAGUAAUCGCACAUCAGCCAUGGCGCGGUGAAUACGUUCCCGGGCCU
RNAcentral lists this ribosomal RNA (1350 nucleotides) under uncultured bacterium. RNAcentral describes it as "bacterial SSU rRNA". It matches the Rfam family "Bacterial small subunit ribosomal RNA", at positions 27 to 1381 of the family's 1533-position model. The record is from RNAcentral.